AUUGAACGCUGGCGGCAGGCCUAACACAUGCAAGUCGAGCGGAUGAAGGGAGCUUGCUCCUGGCUUCAGCGGCGGACGGGUGAGUAAUGCCUAGGAAUCUGCCUGGUAGUGGGGGAUAACGUCCGUACACGGGCGCUAAUACCGCAUACGUCCUGAUGGAGAAAGUGGGGGAUCUUCGGACCUCACGCUAUCAGCUGAGCCUAGGUCGGAUUAGCUAGUUGCUGGGGUAAAGGCCUACCAAGGCGACGAUCCGUAACUGGUCUGAGAGGAUGAUCAGUCACACUGGAACUGAGACACGGUCCAGACUCCUACGGGAGGCAGCAGUAGGGAAUAUUGGGCAAUGGGCGAAAGCCUGAUCCAGCCAUGCCGCGUGUGUGAAGAAGGUCUUCGGAUUGUAAAGCACUUUAAGUUGGGAGGAAGAGCAGUAAGUUAAUACCUGGAUGUUUUGACGUUACCAACAGAAUAAGCACCGGCUAACUUCGUG
This 484-nucleotide ribosomal RNA is filed under the name uncultured bacterium. RNAcentral's name for it is "partial 16S ribosomal RNA". It matches the Rfam family "Bacterial small subunit ribosomal RNA", at positions 30 to 507 of the family's 1533-position model. The record is from RNAcentral.